Molecule: long non-coding RNA, 1195 nt
Filed under: Marmota monax (woodchuck)
Lineage: Eukaryota; Metazoa; Chordata; Mammalia; Rodentia; Sciuridae
Source: RNAcentral
GGUGGAUAGAGGGGAGGAAAACAAGUUUCCACCUAAAUUUGUUGUAUUUUAACUCCAGUCCAGUAAAUAUACUGAGGUAGGGUAAAAAUGGACUAGAAAUCUGAAAACAUGAGUUAGGGAAGGAAGUCUGAAUGUUCAUCAAAAGUCAAGUCAGAAGCAGGAAAUCAGACGACUAGGAAGCUAUGAAUAACUGAGAACCCUGAAGUUUUACCUAAAGCAGUUAUAAAGGUUAAGCAGUCUUGUCCAGGUUUGGCUUUUAUAUUUUUCAUAAAGUACAAUGGAAGGGAAAACUUAUGGGGAGGCUGAUAGUAGAAAAAAGAAUUUGAAUAUUAUUUUUAAAAAGCAAUAUUUUUAGUAAGAAAAACAGAUUUUUAUGUAGCAAGGUAAAGUUUAAGGUCCUUAUGGCAGACACCCCUCUAAUAAUAAGAAAUGUGUUACUUUUUGAAGGAAACUUAUCAAUUAUUAGAUGUAUCUAAUAUUUAAAACAAUGUCCAUUGGAUUGUACUUGAAUUUCUCCCAAUGGCUAAAUGAACAAGUUAUCUGAAAGCAUUACCAAAAUUAUAGACCUUUAAUGUUUGGUGGCAUCUAGAGUUGUUCAGUUUCAAAUUUUGUCUUGUAAAUAUUCAAUUCCUUUGUUCCAUCAAGUGUUUCUCAAAUGAUAUUAACCCUUUCCCUGCAAUUCUUCAGAAUGUCAAUAUAUUUAAAUGCACCCUUUGCACUGUAGCAUGCAUUAACCCUUUCCCACCUUGAUGUGCAUAUCACAUCACACCCAGAAUAUCAAUAUUGUAAGCCAGGGAUUGUUGGAUUCAGAAUCUGAAAAGUAGUUUAAGGACACACAUACUCACUGUGUGUCCUUACAAAGGCAACUGACUCUUUGUAAUUCACUUUUUUCAAAUCUGCAAACUAUUAGUAUCUCUGUGUAGAAUAAAACCUGAAUUAUCUAUUUCAAUAAGUGCUCUCGUUAUUCAUAAUCAUCCAGCACACUUUUAGCACUUUAACAUUUUUAGUUGACAUUGGUUUUAUGUCCAUUUGAACUCCUGAAGUUUUCAAGUGAAUUGCUCUUGGCCUGGAUUUUUUACACCUUUCACUUUUGUAACUGAUUUUUUUUUUCAUUUCUAAAAACAGGAAUUUGCAUGUUUCCCAAUUAUAUUUGGGCUUUGGCUGUUAAGUUCUUAUUUGCAGUGUAUCUAAAAUU